GACGGGGGCCCGCACAAGCGGUGGAGCAUGUGGUUUAAUUCGACGCAACGCGCAGAACCUUACCAGCCCUUGACAUCCCGGUCGCGGACUCCAGAGACGGAGUUCUUCAGUUCGGCUGGACCGGAGACAGGUGCUGCAUGGCUGUCGUCAGCUCGUGUCGUGAGAUGUUGGGUUAAGUCCCGCAACGAGCGCAACCCCCGUCCUUAGUUGCUACCAUUUAGUUGAGCACUCUAAGGAGACUGCCGGUGAUAAGCCGCGAGGAAGGUGGGGAUGACGUCAAGUCCUCAUGGCCCUUACGGGCUGGGCUACACACGUGCUACAAUGGCGGUGACAAUGGGAUGCUAAGGGGCGACCCUUCGCAAAUCUCAAAAAGCCGUCUCAGUUCGGAUUGGGCUCUGCAACUCGAGCCCAUGAAGUUGGAAUCGCUAGUAAUCGUGGAUCAGCACGCCACGGUGAAUACGUUCCCGGGCCUUGUACACACCGCCCGUCACACCAUGGGAGUUGGUUUUACCUGAAGACGGUGCGCUAACCGAAAGGGGGCAGCCGGCCACGGUAGGGUCAGCGACUGGGGUGAAGUCGUAA
This 582-nucleotide ribosomal RNA is filed under the name uncultured soil bacterium. Its description in RNAcentral is "bacterial SSU rRNA". It matches the Rfam family "Bacterial small subunit ribosomal RNA", at positions 912 to 1491 of the family's 1533-position model. The record is from RNAcentral.